This 305-nucleotide ribosomal RNA is filed under the name uncultured bacterium. RNAcentral's name for it is "bacterial SSU rRNA". It matches the Rfam family "Bacterial small subunit ribosomal RNA", at positions 337 to 659 of the family's 1533-position model. The record is from RNAcentral.
ACCUACGGGGCGCAGCAGUGGGGAAUAUUGCACAAUGGGGGAAACCCUGAUGCAGCGACGCCGCGUGAGUGAGGAAGUAUUUCGGUAUGUAAAGCUCUAUCAGCAGGGAAGAAAAUGACGGUACCUGACUAAGAAGCCCCGGCUAACUACGUGCCAGCAGCCGCGGUAAUACGUAGGGAGCAAGCGUUAUCCGGAUUUAUUGGGUGUAAAGGGUGCGUAGACGGGUAUAUAAGUUAGUUGUGAAAUCCCUCGGCUCAACUGAGGAACUGCAACUAAAACUGUAAAUCUUGAGUGCGGGAGAGGAA